RNAcentral lists this unclassified non-coding RNA (876 nucleotides) under Hevea brasiliensis (rubber tree). Lineage: Eukaryota; Viridiplantae; Streptophyta; Magnoliopsida; Malpighiales; Euphorbiaceae. The record is from RNAcentral.
CAGCCUUUACAUUUGUCAACCUGUAGUGAUUCCAUGCAGCAGAUUAGUAAAGUGAAGCCAGCAAAUCACAUUACAUAAUAAAGCAACUGUGUGUACACUUUAUGAUGGCACUUACACUAAACUAAUUCUAAGCUAAUUACAAAAUAUGACAAGUCUCUUCAACUCCCACAGUUCCUUGAAAUGGAAGAAUCAUUAGAAAGAAUUUAAAAUGCUAUUGACAUCUAGAAAGGAAAUUCGGUCCCACAAGUGCAUGCAAUUUUGGUAUGGAAAUUUAAGAGUUUCAAAUGCAAUUGAAUUAAAUGGAUGUAUUGAAAAAUAAAAAAGAACAAGGCAAACUUAAGAUGUUAUGGUGGUAAAUGAAAUUGUUAAUGAUGCUACGAGAUUGCAUUUGGAUCUUUAAAAGGCUUCUAAUCAUGUGAUUGAGGAUUUCUUGGAAAUGUGACAUGACAAUUCGUUGUCUUUUCUUUUAUUUUAUUUCUUAUGUUCUCUUCAAUUUUAUUCAAAAGCGUAUGAAAUUGGAGGGCAUGAGGAGGUGAUUUUGCUCCCUCUUCUUCUCAUUUACUUAUCUUGUUGAUAUCUUUCAUAAACAUUAAUCUUGAGUAUAUUCUUAGUGUACUGGUUGUAAAAUUAAGGGUGAAUUACUAUUUGUCCCAAAGGUUAGGUUAUAAUCACAAUUGUAGAUCUUUGUUAUUUGAAUAUCAAAUCAAUUGGUCUCUGGCAUUUAAUUCGACUAACCAUUUAGUCCCUUUGUCCACUUUUACAUUAGUCAACUGUUAAAAAAGUAAUCACAAAUCUAAAAUGCCUAUGAAAAUUCCAAAAAAGAGAAAAAAACAACUAAUAACAAUUUUUUCUUUGAUUUUUUAAAAUUAACUUUUU